RNAcentral lists this ribosomal RNA (253 nucleotides) under uncultured bacterium. RNAcentral describes it as "partial 16S ribosomal RNA". It matches the Rfam family "Bacterial small subunit ribosomal RNA", at positions 524 to 776 of the family's 1533-position model. The record is from RNAcentral.
GACGAAGGUGGCGAGCGUUGUUCGGAAUCACUGGGCAUAAAGCGCACGUAGGCGGCGGCGUAAGUCGGGUGUGAAAUCCCUCGGCCUAACCGAGGAACUGCGCCCGAUACUGCGUUGCUUGAGGGUCAAAGGGGUGCAUGGAAUUCCCGGUGGAGCGGUGAAAUGCGUUGAUAUCGGGAGGAACGCCGGCGGCGAAAGCGGUGCACUGGUUGACUUCUGACGCUCAUGUGCGAAAGCCAGGGGAGCAAACGGG